This 3689-nucleotide small RNA is filed under the name Pongo abelii (Sumatran orangutan). RNAcentral's name for it is "processed transcript". The record is from RNAcentral. Lineage: Eukaryota; Metazoa; Chordata; Mammalia; Primates; Hominidae.
CACCCUGUCGCCCACCAAGCGCCUGGUCCACGCGUCCGAGCAGUACAGCAAGCACUCGCAGGAGCUGUAUGCCACGGCCACCCUCCAGAGGCCGGGCAGCCUGGCAGGUAAAGGCUCGCUGCCACCUGGCGCGGCUCACCUGGGCGCGUGGCGGGGGCGCAGAAGCAGCAGCCCGGCUUGAGCAGAAGCGAAGCCGGGCGCGCUGUCUGCCAGGUUGCAGUAGUGGCAGGAGAUAGAGAACGCCAGGGCUUCCCUGGAACAACUGGGUCCCGAGCCUCAUACAGCAGCCAGCAUGGGCACCUGGGCCCAGAGCUGCGGGCCCUGCAGUCCCCAGAACACCACAUAGAUCCCAUCUACGAAGACCGCGUCUAUCAGAAGCCCCCUAUGAGGAGUCUCAGCCAGAGCCAGGGGGACCCUCUGCCGCCAGCACACACUGGCACCUACCGCACGAGCACAGCCCCAUCUUCCCCUGGUGUCGACUCCGUCCCCUUGCAGCGCACAGGCAGCCAGCACGGCCCACAGAAUGCCGCCGCGGCCACCUUCCAGAGGGCCAGCUAUGCCGCCGGCCCAGCCUCCAAUUACGCGGACCCCUACCGACAGCUGCAGUAUUGUCCCUCUGUUGAGUCUCCAUACAGCAAAUCCGGCCCUGCUCUCCCGCCCGAAGGCACCUUGGCCAGGUCCCCGUCCAUUGAUAGCAUUCAGAAAGAUCCCAGAGAAUUUGGAUGGAGAGACCCGGAACUGCCGGAAGUGAUUCAGAUGUUGCAGCACCAGUUUCCCUCGGUCCAGUCUAACGCGGCAGCCUAUUUGCAACACCUCUGUUUUGGAGACAACAAAAUUAAAGCCGAGAUAAGGAGACAAGGAGGCAUCCAGCUCCUGGUGGACCUGUUGGAUCAUCGGAUGACCGAAGUCCACCGUAGUGCCUGUGGAGCUCUGAGAAACCUGGUGUAUGGGAAGGCCAACGAUGAUAACAAAAUUGCCCUGAAAAACUGUGGUGGCAUCCCAGCAUUGGUGAGGUUACUCCGCAAGACGACUGACCUGGAGAUCCGGGAGCUGGUCACAGGAGUCCUUUGGAACCUCUCCUCGUGCGAUGCACUCAAAAUGCCAAUCAUCCAGGAUGCCCUGGCAGUACUGACCAACGCGGUGAUUAUCCCCCACUCAGGCUGGGAAAAUUCACCUCUUCAGGAUGAUCGGAAGAUACAGCUGCAUUCAUCACAGGUGCUGCGUAACGCCACCGGGUGCCUAAGGAAUGUUAGUUCGGCCGGAGAGGAGGCCCGCAGAAGGAUGAGAGAGUGUGAUGGGCUUACGGAUGCCUUGCUGUAUGUGAUCCAGUCUGCGCUGGGGAGCAGUGAGAUCGAUAGCAAGACCGUUGAAAACUGUGUGUGCAUUUUAAGGAACCUCUCGUACCGGCUGGCGGCAGAAACGUCUCAGGGACAGCACAUGGGCACGGACGAGCUGGACGGGCUACUCUGUGGCGAGGCCAAUGGCAAGGACGCUGAGAGCUCUGGGUGCUGGGGCAAGAAGAAGAAGAAAAAGAAAUCCCAAGAUCAGUGGGAUGGAGUAGGACCUCUUCCAGACUGUGCUGAACCACCAAAAGGGAUCCAGAUGCUGUGGCACCCAUCAAUAGUCAAACCCUACCUCACACUGCUCUCUGAGUGCUCAAAUCCAGACACGCUGGAAGGGGCGGCAGGCGCCCUGCAGAACUUGGCUGCGGGGAGCUGGAAGUGGUCAGUAUAUAUCCGAGCCGCUGUCCGAAAAGAGAAAGGCCUGCCCAUCCUCGUGGAGCUGCUCCGAAUAGACAAUGACCGCGUGGUGUGCGCUGUGGCCACUGCGCUGCGGAACAUGGCCUUGGACGUCAGAAAUAAGGAGCUCAUCGGCAAAUACGCCAUGCGAGACCUAGUCCACAGGCUUCCAGGAGGGAACAACAGCAACAACACUGCAAGCAAGGCCAUGUCGGAUGACACAGUGACAGCCGUCUGCUGCACGCUGCACGAAGUGAUUACCAAGAACAUGGAGAACGCCAAGGCCUUACGGGAUGCCGGUGGCAUCGAGAAGUUGGUCGGCAUCUCCAAAAGCAAAGGAGAUAAACACUCUCCAAAAGUGGUCAAGGCCGCAUCUCAGGUCCUCAACAGCAUGUGGCAGUACCGAGAUCUGAGGAGUCUCUACAAAAAGGAUGGAUGGUCACAAUACCACUUUGUAGCCUCGUCUUCAACCAUCGAGAGGGACCGGCAAAGGCCCUACUCCUCCUCCCGCACGCCCUCCAUCUCCCCUGUGCGCGUGUCUCCCAACAACCGCUCAGCAAGUGCCCCAGCUUCACCUCGGGAAAUGAUCAGCCUCAAAGAAAGGAAAACAGACUACGAGUGCACCGGCAGCAAUGCCACCUACCACGGAGCUAAAGGCGAACACACUUCCAGGAAAGACGCCAUGACAGCUCAAAACACUGGAAUUUCAACUUUGUAUAGGAAUUCAUAUGGUGCGCCCGCUGAAGACAUCAAACACAACCAGGUUUCAGCACAGCCAGUCCCACAGGAGCCCAGCAGAAAAGAUUAUGAGACCUACCAGCCAUUUCAGAAUUCCACGAGAAAUUACGACGAGUCCUUCUUCGAGGACCAGGUCCACCAUCGCCCUCCCGCCAGCGAGUACACCAUGCACCUGGGUCUCAAGUCCACCGGCAACUACGUUGACUUCUACUCAGCUGCCCGUCCCUACAGUGAACUGAACUAUGAAACGAGCCACUACCCGGCCUCCCCCGACUCCUGGGUGUGAGGAGCGGGGCACAGGCGCUCCAGGAACAGUGCAUGUGCAUGCAUACCACAAGACAUUUCUUUCUGUUUUAUUUUUUUCUCCUGCAAAUUUAGUUUGUUAAAGCCUGUUCCAUAGGAAGGCUGUGAUAACCAGUAAGGAAAUAUUAAGAGCUAUUUUAGAAAGCUAAAUGAAUCGCAGUUAACUUGGAAAUCAGUAGAAAGCUAAAGUGAUCCUAAAUAUGACAGUGGGCAGCACCUUUCUAGCGUGAGCUGUAGAGUAACGAGAAGUGCUUUAUACUGAACGUGGCUGAUGGGAGGAGAGACGAGGCAUUCGGGCCGGUGGGGCGUGAGGGUUAUAGUUAAGCACAAGACACAGAAUAGUUUACACACUGUAUGGGGGACGGCUUCUCACGCUUUGUUUACUCUCUUCAUCCGUUGUGACUCUAGGCUUCAGGUUGCAUUGGGGUUCCUCUGUACAGCAAGAUGUUUCUUGCCUUUUGUUAAUGCAUUGUUGUAAAGUAUUUGAUGUACAUUACAGAUUAAAGAAGAAAAGCGCGUUGUGUAUAUUACACCAAUGCCGCCGUGUUUCCUCAUCUAUGGUUCUAAAUAUUGCUUCAAUUUCAAACUUUUGAAAGAUGUAUGGAUUUCCAGUUUUUCUUUUCUUUACUUUCUCCCAGUAUGUUUUAACAAAAAAAAAAAAAAAGCAGGAAAAAAGGAAUAUUUAGCAGUAUUGUUCGUUCUGAUAUGUGAAUUUGUUUGUGACAACUAAACAAGGCAUUCAGCAGUUUCUGACAAUUAACAUACAUCGUUCCACACUCCUUGUCAACAAAGUGCUUUUUCACUGCCUAAAAUUUUAGAUGUAGAUAUUUGAAAUAGAUUUUUUCAUUUAUACCAGUUUUCUUUAUGAUGAUACAGUGUUAAAAGAAAAUAAAUUACAAUUGAUCUGUC